UUCUGGCUCAGGAUGAACGCUGGCGGCGUGCUUAACACAUGCAAGUCGAACGGAGCUUAGAAGGAAGCUUGCUUUCAUUUAAGCUUAGUGGCGGACGGGUGAGUAACGCGUGAGCAACCUGCCCUCGAGUGGGGAAUAACAUCGAGAAAUCGGUGCUAAUACCGCAUAAUGUCGAGAGACCGCAUGAUCUUUCGACCAAAGGAUUUAUUCGCUUGAGGAUGGGCUCGCGUCCGAUUAGCUAGUUGGUGAGGUAACGGCCCACCAAGGCUUCGAUCGGUAGCCGAACUGAGAGGUUGAUCGGCCACAUUGGGACUGAGACACGGCCCAGACUCCUACGGGAGGCAGCAGUGGGGAAUAUUGGGCAAUGGGCGAAAAAGCCUGACCCAGCAACGCCGCGUGAAGGAUGAAGGUCUCGGAUUGUAAACUUCUUUGAUUGGGGAAGAAUAAAUGACCUACCCAAAGAACAAGCCACGGCUAACUACGUGCCAGCCGCCGC
RNAcentral lists this ribosomal RNA (496 nucleotides) under uncultured bacterium. Its description in RNAcentral is "bacterial SSU rRNA". It matches the Rfam family "Bacterial small subunit ribosomal RNA", at positions 17 to 518 of the family's 1533-position model. The record is from RNAcentral.